Saccostrea cuccullata (small rock oyster) is the source of this 285-nucleotide long non-coding RNA. RefSeq lists it as uncharacterized. The transcript has 3 exons. Lineage: Eukaryota; Metazoa; Mollusca; Bivalvia; Ostreida; Ostreidae. The record is from RefSeq and is a predicted model, not a curated record.
CUUCUUUACUCUAUUUAUUAGGAUUUAUAACCAAGCUGCAAUUGCUGUUCAUUUCUGGGCUGCCAAACUGGAUUUACUGUAUAAUACAUUAUUAUUCACUGAGUACAAGAAAUUUCAUUUAAACUUUUCCAACAAAGGGGAUGGGUAAACACGAAAAUCAAAGAGCCUUUUGCAUGACAAAAUGAAGGACUUAAAUCCAGGCUGCAAUGGCUGCACGUUUCUGGGAUGCUGUGCUGAAGUUGAAGUUUAUGUCUCUGAUUGGAAUGAUCUCGUUAUCCUCCCUCU